This 1155-nucleotide long non-coding RNA is filed under the name Nicotiana benthamiana. RNAcentral describes it as "long non-coding RNA (NBEN_LNC003915)". Lineage: Eukaryota; Viridiplantae; Streptophyta; Magnoliopsida; Solanales; Solanaceae. The record is from RNAcentral.
AAGUGUGUAUAUUACUCCAUUAAUUAACUCUUGAAAAUAAAAAAGAAGAAAAAAGAAAAACAAAAAAGGGAAAAUAAACGCGGCACACCAAAACCAGAGUCUUUCUCUUUCUUCAUUCUCUCUCUUUCUGCUCAUAGUUUUGAGCUAAUACAAAGAUCGUAGUAAGGCGAUCCAAGCUUUAACAAAACAGUUUCCGUAAUCGUCUGACUUAGCUUUUUAAAUCCAUAUCGGUUUUUCUUUUUCCUUCAAUUUAAUUUUGUUAGAUUUUAAUUAAUUUUCUAUUUAUUAAAUAAAGGUCAGCUGGGGUUGGUGAAAUUUUACUGUUUUCCUGCGAUCUCGAUUAGUUGAGCUGAAAGGUUUUAAACUUUAAUGAAAUGGGUCAAAUUUUUUGUGUGUUGUAGCUCAAGUUAAGAGGCAAAAGGGGGUCUGAAAAGUGAAAAAUCUUGGAAUUUUGUGGAGUGUAUUUAUUAAUUUGAAUGAUUUCUGUUGGGAGUAGAGAUGGAAGGAUGGGAUUAGGGUUUGAUGGUGGAAUGGAGGAAACUGAGCUAGAAGAAGGAGAGGCCUGCUGUUACAACAUUGAUUCAACCAUUGACCCUGAUGUUUCUCUAUCUUACCUUGUGAGUUUCUUUUUCUUUUUGCCUUUAGUAUUUAUCAUACUUUUGGAGUUAUAAUUGAGAUCAAAUCAUUUAAGUCUUGGAAGAUUCUUGUCCAUACUGCAUUUGAUUGUAAUUUAUUGCAUUUUAGUCUUAGAAAAUUCUUGUCCAUACUGCAUUCAAUUGUAAUUUGGUUCAUGUUGGUGCAUUGACUUUUUGUAGUUUGUUAGUUUGCAGCUCAAUCUCUGAUCAAUCGACAUACUUUUGUCUAUCUCCUGCUGGGGCUGCUCAAUACAAUUGACGGCCUAAAGCCAAAACUUAAUAAGUGACCUUCUCAUGUGUUAGAAAAAACUUGAAAAUGAAAUGGAAAAGGAAUGUUAUUAAAACUCAAGCAUAAAAGAGCCAGAGAAAGCUAAGAGGAAAUACGGAAGCUGAAAAGUAAUUAGCUUAUAUUAAUUACUCUAAGAGAAAGAAAUUCACCUUAAUUACCUCAACUAAAUCCGACAUGGGUGUUGGAUGCUGAAAUCCAUUUAGAUGCAAUAGGUCUUGGAGACGCCAUUAA